UCAGUUAGUGGUUCUUGUCCCUUUCUCUCUUUAUCUUUCUCGACUCACCUAUGGAUGGUUUGUGGUAUAUGGAGCCUUAGGGAACCAGGCUGUUAUAUUUGUUGGACCCUACUUUGGCACAUGACCCAUAACAAGGACAGCAAUUAUGCAACAGCAUGGUAUCUUUUGCCCCCAGCAGAACUCAUCCAAUUCAAGGCCCCACUCCUUAUAAACAAAGACAGCAAAAUACAAGCUGGCAGAUGCACUUAUUGGAGUGGGCUCCUUGCAGGUUUCAAAGUGGCAGGAACUGCAGCCACACUUCAUGGCAAAGCAUUGGGCUUACAGGUGUAAGAGAAUGAUCAAAGAACUCUUCUCCAGCUGCCCAAAAUGACAAAUACAACUGAAGCAGCCACAGCUUUUAACCAAUUACAGUGCCAGACUUGCUAGCCCCACUUGGGCAUGCACAGAUAUGUGCCUUGAGGUUUUUCCAAGUUGAGGAACAGGUUGGGUAGCCUUGAAAGGCCCUCUGAAUCGGAGACAAAUUAUGGCAGUCUGAAUUAUGCCAAUUCUGAAAACAAAGAACCACACUUUUCAGCAUAUAGUAAUGGAGAAGCAUAAGAGGUAGUACUCCUGAACAUUCCAUUUUAAUGCAAGAAUACGUGUAGUUAUAAUCACAAAAUAUUUCCCUGGAGAAAUGAAGGAAUAGUAAGAUAUUUUAAUAUUACCAAUAUUUUAGAAAUGCAAUGCAUUCAGUGCCUAGGCAGCUACUCCAUCCUGGAGUGCCCAAAUAUCACCUUGUGUUACUUGUCUUUUGAUAUAUAUCAAAACGUUCAUGACUGAUUUUAACCGUGGUCUCCCAGGUCCUAAUCCACUCAAUAUCCACCUUAUUCCACACUCUGGGAAAAGAGAGAGAAAUCUUUUUAUAUAAAUCUUUUAUAUAUAAAUAGGGGAGAGAAGCAACUGUGACAGCAAAGACACUUUUCAGCUUUGUUAGGUGCUGACCAUUAGUGCAACUGUAGUGCUUAAAAAUAUUUGCAAGGAGGAGAAGAUGGGGAAGAAAACAGAACUUGGACAUGCUUCCAUUUCUACUUAUUGGCCAUGCCCCCAUGACCACUUAGCAGCUCCAUCAGCUCCAGUGGGACCAACCGCCACUACCCUCUACUAUUGGAAUUAUAACUAUCAAUUAAAUGUUCUGUUAGUGGUCUUACAGCAUGAUUUUAACAGUUAAAUUGGAACAGAAUCUGAUGUAAUACUGAUUGUGCAUACAUUCCUGAAGUUGUUCCGAUUUCUUCUUCCAAUCUUUGCUGUGCCCUUUCAUACAAAUCAAAGUAUAUCCCCUCAGUUUGUAAACUCUUUAUGUUUGUCAGAGUGAUAGAAUAAGGGAUUAAAUGAUAUAGGCAGUAAUGAUGAGACUGCAGACAUGCAUUGGUGUGCCCUUUUGUGCCAAAUUUGUCUAAUAGUGUAACAAAAGGGAUUGUUGAGCCCAGCCGAGUUUCCAUUUUUUUAAAAAAAGGAGCACCCAAAUCCCACCAAUGUCAGCUUCAUCAUCCAUUUCUAUUUUAAUCCAUUAUUUCAACUUAUCAUUUUUAAUUAUAGUAAUCAACUGUUUAACCUAAAAUGCCUCAUGAUUCAACAAACUGGGGUUACCCUCCAUGUUUACCUCGCAUAACAUUUUAUUAAUCCUUGAUGUCUUUCCAUUAUGAAUAAACAAAUGUUUGCCACAUGUCUAAUUUAGCAUUAGGGACACAAUUCAGAAGAACCAGCUUGUAUUACCCACCCAUUGCAGUGACAUCAGCUGUUUGACAGAUGGGUAUGGUGGCCAAAUUGGAUCCCCUGGCAGGCUAAGAUUGGCUCAGAGGUCAGAUGUUCCCCACCCUUGCCUUACACUGAGGAUUCAUUAACAAAAUCAGUAUUGCAGCAGUUGCAUUGAUUACUUCAGUGUGCACUAAGAUCAUUUUACUACAUUUUCACAAGGCUUUCAAAAACUACAUUUGAAGUGCAAUAGCAAAUAUGGGCUGUUUGA
Rhineura floridana is the source of this 2002-nucleotide long non-coding RNA. RefSeq lists it as uncharacterized. The record is from RefSeq and is a predicted model, not a curated record. The transcript is spliced from 3 exons. Lineage: Eukaryota; Metazoa; Chordata; Lepidosauria; Squamata; Rhineuridae.